Long non-coding RNA from Bos taurus (domestic cattle), 885 nucleotides. The record is from Ensembl. Lineage: Eukaryota; Metazoa; Chordata; Mammalia; Artiodactyla; Bovidae.
GAGUGGGCUUGCCGGAUCACGUGGGAACUCGACAACUGCUGUUUUAGGGGCUCUCCACGCUGUUGUCCUUCUCGCUGCACCCACCUAUUUACAUCCCCGCCCGCAGUGUGGAGGACUCCAUGCCCCUCUCCCCGCCCCAGCAGCACUUAAUUUUUGUAGAUCUUUGGCGUGAUGGCCAUUUUGAGUGGGAUGAGCUGAGACCGUGGUGCAAUUUUGAACUGCGUUUUCCUAUAAUGGUGAUGCUGAGCCAGUCUUCACCGGCUUUAUGUCUAUCCGGAUACCUUCUUGGGAGAAGUUCCCAUCAGGAUCACUUGGCUUCUCGCUCCUGCUGGUCCGGCGGCGAGGACUCCUGGUUCUCAUCCGGCUCCCCAGGUCCAGUUCCUGACAGGGAACCACGACUGUCUUCAGGACCGCUCACUGCUCUCUCUGUCCGAGAUCAUGGUCAUCGUUUUCGUCACAGAGACUGGAAAGGGCUCAGCUGCUGCCGCUAGCUUUGUCCUUGAGUGUCUGGGGGACAACAAAGCUUCAGCUUCACUCCACUUGACAGACACCAGCUUCCAGCCCAGAGGCCCCUCCAUCUCCUUCCUCAAAUCCCGCUGAGAGACAAGAACCCCAAACAUCUUCACUGGGAGGCUGAGGGCAAAGGAUCUGUUCUGAGGACUGCCUGGAGUCUCUGCAUCACCAGCAUCUUGAUGUGAAACUGCAGUAAUCUGAAAGAGACAAAUUUAACAAGAGCCACAGACCAGGAAUAUGAUCAAAGUGGAAUAAAGUCCUGAACAUAUCGGAACCUCAGACCAUUUUCCUGUGUCAGUAAAGAUGCCCAGUUUUAGGCAUGUUUUUCCCCCCCGAUCCACCCAUUUAAAUAAAGGCCAGACACUGUCACAG